RNAcentral lists this ribosomal RNA (497 nucleotides) under uncultured bacterium. RNAcentral describes it as "partial 16S ribosomal RNA". It matches the Rfam family "Bacterial small subunit ribosomal RNA", at positions 28 to 507 of the family's 1533-position model. The record is from RNAcentral.
GAUGAACGCUGGCGGCGUGCCUAAUACAUGCAAGUCGAGCGAACGGACGAGAAGCUUGCUUCUCUGAUGUUAGCGGCGGACGGGUGAGUAACACGUGGAUAACCUACCUAUAAGACUGGGAUAACUUCGGGAAACCGGAUCUAAUACCGGAUAAUAUUUUGAACCGCAUGGUUCAACAGUGAAAGACGGUCUUGCUGUCACUUAUAGAUGGAUCCGCGCUGCAUUAGCUAGUUGGUAAGGUAACGGCUUACCAAGGCAACGAUGCAUAGCCGACCUGAGAGGGUGAUCAGCCACACUGGAACUGAGACACGGUCCAGACUCCUACGGGAGGCAGCAGUAGGGAAUCUUCCGCAAUGGGCGAAAGCCUGACGGAGCAACGCCGCGUGAGUGAUGAAGGUCUUCGGAUCGUAAAACUCUGUUAUUAGGGAAGAACAUAUGUGUAAGUAACUGUGCACAUCUUGACGGUACCUAAACAGAAAGCCACGGCUAACUACGUG